AUUGAACGCUGGCGGCAGGCCUAACACAUGCCAGUCGAGCGGAUGAAGGGAGCUUGCUCCUGGAUUCAGCGGCGGACGGGUGAGUAAUGCCUAGGAAUCUGCCUGGUAGUGGGGGAUAACGUCCGGAAACGGGCGCUAAUACCGCAUACGUCCUGAGGUAGAAAGUGGGGGAUCUUCGGACCUCACGCUAUCAGAUGAGCCUAGGUCGGAUUAGCUAGUUGGUGGGGUAAAGGCCUACCAAGGCGACGAUCCGUAACUGGUCUGAGAGGAUGAUCAGUCACACUGGAACUGAGACACGGUCCAGACUCCUACGGGAGGCAGCAGUGGGGAAUAUUGGACAAUGGGCGAAAGCCUGAUCCAGCCAUGCCGCGUGUGUGAAGAAGGUCUUCGGAUUGUAAAGCACUUUAAGUUGGGAGGAAGGGCAGUAAGUUAAUACCUUGCUGUUUUGACGUUACCAACAGAAUAAGCACCGGCUAACUUCGUG
This 484-nucleotide ribosomal RNA is filed under the name uncultured bacterium. RNAcentral's name for it is "partial 16S ribosomal RNA". It matches the Rfam family "Bacterial small subunit ribosomal RNA", at positions 30 to 507 of the family's 1533-position model. The record is from RNAcentral.